This 266-nucleotide long non-coding RNA is filed under the name Mus pahari (shrew mouse). RNAcentral's name for it is "lncRNA (MGP_PahariEiJ_G0033073.1)". The record is from RNAcentral. Lineage: Eukaryota; Metazoa; Chordata; Mammalia; Rodentia; Muridae.
UUUGAGAGACAUUUUUUAAUGGCACUUAGGAAUUAUGGCUGAGGUCCAGCCAUGGCAUUUGAUGUUGCUCAGGCCCCUUGAUGCCGAGAGUCUUCAAGCUCAUGUGAGAUGCAUUUUUUAAAACACUGACAGAAGGUCCACGCUUGUCACUCAAGCGCUGCGGAGGUGGCAACGGGCAGAUUUCUUGGACCUGCUGGCCAGCAAGCCCAGUCUAAUACUGGGUGAACCUGAAGCCAGUCCCGGCUCACAAAAUAAGGUGGAUAGCA